GAGAAUCAUUUGAAGGUUUGAGCCUUGAGAGAGCUUUAAAGCACAUUGAAAGAUGCUCAACAUCAUUACUCAUUAGGAAAAUGCAAAUUAAAACCAAAAUGAGAUACUACUUUGCACCCACUGGGAUUACUGUAACAAAAAAGAUGAACAAUAACAAGUGUUGAUGAGGAUGUGGAGAAAUUGGAACUCUUAGACACCGCUAGUGGGAAUGCAAAAUGGUACAGCUGUCUUGAAAAACAGUUCAGCAGUUCACUAAAAAGUUAGAGUUGGCAGGGCAUGGUGGCUCACACCUGUAAUCCCAGUAUUUUGGGAGGCCAAGGUGGGCAUAUCACAAGGUCAGGAGUUUGAGACCAGCCUGACCAACAUGGUGAAACCCUGUCUCUACUAAAAUUACAAAAAUUACCCGGGUGUGGUGGUACACACCUGUAAUCCCAGCUACUCAAGAGGCUAAGGCAGUAGAGUCACUUGAACCCGGGAGGCAGGGGUUGUAGUGAGCUGAGAUCGUGCCACUGCACUCCAGCCUGGGUGACAAAGUGAGACUCCGUCUCAAAAAAAAAAAUAAGUAAGUUAGAGUUACCACCUGACCCAGCAAUUCCACUCCUAGGUGUAUAUCCAAGAGAAAUGAAGGUAAAUAUUCACAUAAAAACUUGUCCACCAAUGUUCAUAGCAGCAUUAUCCAUAGUAGCCAAAAUUGGAAACACCCCAAAUGUCCAUCAUCUAAUGAAUGAAUAAACAAAAUAUGAUACCCCCAUACAAUGGAAUAUUAGCUAUAAAAUGGAGUGAAGUUCUGAUACAUAUUGCAACAUGAAUGAAUCUUUAAAAUAUAAUGCUAAAUGAAAGAAGGCAGAUACAAAAGGCAACAUAUUGUAUAAUUUCAUUAAUAUUAAAUAUCCAGAAUCGGCCCUGCGCUAAUCUCAGCACUUUGGGAGGCCCAGGCAGGAGGAUCCCUUGAGCCCAGGAGUUCAAGACCAGCCUGGGAAACAUGAUGAAAUCUUGUCUCUGCAAAAACCACAAAAAACUAGCUAGGCAUAGUGCUGCACAACUAGUAGACCCAGCUACUCAAGACACUGAAGUGGGAGGAUCACCUGAGCCCAGGAGGUCAAGGCUGCAGUGAGCCCUGGUCAUGCCAGUGCACUCCAGCCUAGGUGACAGAGCGAGCUCCUGUCUUGAAUAUAUAUAUAUAUAUCUCCAGAAUAGGCAAAUCCACAGAAAUAGAGUGUAGGUUAGUGGUUAUCAGGGGCCACUGAAUUGUACACUUUAAAAUACUGAGUUUUUUAUGGCAUGUGAAUUAUAAAGACUUGCACCAGAGUGACCCAUGAGGAAAGAACAGCAAUGCUGUAAGCUCAGGCUUCAAACAGGGGAACCCAUCCUCCUGGAGGGUCAUGAAGAUUUUCGAUGGGGUACACAAGCAUGAAUAAUUUUAUGGUAAUCACUUCUCACAACUCUGAUGUGUAUACUCUUCCUUAACAUUAAUCUGCCUGAGAAUUUACCUUUCACUUCUCCACUUUCACAAUAGCUUUUCCUUUGCUUUUAAAAGAAAAGCUAUACCUUUCACUUAUCCUGAAUACCGUAUUACUAUGAGGGUAUUGUCCUGGGGUUGAAAAUGUCUAGAGCCAGCCUGGCCAACACAGAGAAACCCCAUCUCUGCUAAAAAUACAAAAAUUAACCAGGUGUCGUGGUGCGUGCCUGUGGUCCCAGCUACUUGGGAGGCUGAGACAGGAGAAUCGCUUGAACCUGGGAGGCAGAGGUUGUAGUGAGCACAGAUCACGCCACUGCUCUCUAGCCUGGGCUACAGCGAGACUCUGUCUCAAAAAAAAAAAAGAGAGAGAGGCAGAGAGAGGGUCCAAAGAUAAAGAUUGUGAUGACUAUGUAGAAUGUUUUCAGACUUUAGACAUGAAAUAAUUUUUAGUUUGACAAGGUUUAGGGCGCAGCCAUGGGAGUGGGUGGCUGAAGUGAAAGGGAGACUCAUUAGAUUCGAGGAUGUCAAGGAGCAGAAAGGCCGGAUAGCUGGAUGGGUCAUUGAGGUGGAUGUUCAAGUCACCCAAGCUGUUGUAGGAUUGUAAUAGCCCAGUUGCUCUCAAACUUUAGUGUGAGUCAGAAUCACUUGGAAGGCAUAUUAAAAUAUAGUUUAGCCGGAUGCAGUGGCAUGCACCUGUAGUCCCAGUUACUUGGGAGGCAGAGGCAGGAGAAUCGUUUGAGCACAGGAAUCCUGGGCUCUAGUGUGCUAUGCCAAUCAGGUGUCUGCACUAAAUUCAGCAUCAAUGUGGUGAUCUCCCAGGAGCAGAGGACCACCAGGUUGCCUAAGGAAAGGUGAACUGCCAGGUUGGAAAUAAAAGAGGCCAAAACUCCUGGGCUGGACAGCAGUGAGAUCACGCCUGUGAAUAGUCUCUGCACUCCAGCCUAGGUUACAUAGCAAGACCCCAUCACACACACACAUCCCUCACACAUACACACACACACCACACACAGACACACCACACACACACACACACACACACACACACACACACACACACACACACAGUUUACUGGGCCUUACACCCAGAAUUUCUGAUUCAGUUGGUCUUGGUGGCCCAGUAAUUUGCAUUUCUAACAAGCCUCACCUGGGAACAAGGGUCGGGCCCACACUUUAGCAAUUAUUGGAGUAGAGUGCAGAUUGAGUCAGGCGUCAAGGUCUUCUAUGAAUGUAUUCAGUUGAUGACAGCAAUGAAGAGGGAGAGAUAGCAACCUUAAAUGGUUGAUUUAAAAUAUGACCCUAACACUUGGAUGUUUCACCCGGUAGCCAGUUCUUUGCCCACCUUGGCCACAUAUUUCUCCCUAACCACAGCAGAAGUUUGGGCAACCUUCAGCUCUCCUCCUUGGUUUUAAACUCUGUGUCCAAGGGCUUUAAUUUCCUUUUUUUUUUUUUUUUUUACGGAUGCUAUUUUUUUUUUUUUUUUUUUUGUAUUUUAGUAGAGACAGGGUUUCACUGUGUUGUCCAGGCUGGUCGCGAACUCCUGAGCAAUCCGC
This 3009-nucleotide long non-coding RNA is filed under the name Homo sapiens (human). RNAcentral's name for it is "HSALNT0006848". The stretch from base 2132 to 2429 matches the Rfam family "Metazoan signal recognition particle RNA". Lineage: Eukaryota; Metazoa; Chordata; Mammalia; Primates; Hominidae. The record is from RNAcentral.